CCCUGUUCAAGGUAGACAAUCAACAUAUUGACUUUAUGAAAUUAAACAUAGACUCAUAGUUCAAAGGAAUAUAACUCUUGUAUACAAAUGACACAUCAAUCGAGUUAUUUAGCUGCGAAUUCGUGCGCCACCUUCAAGGAAGAUUCUAAAUUAUCAAUAUAACCACAAGUUGUUAAUCUAUAGAUACUGACGACUAAUGAAUUCUAACCACAGUAAAGAAUAUUUGUUUGAAAUUUUUUAACACUUACUCAGAAAAAUGCUCGAACUACUUGACUUUCAAAGCUCAUAAUUAAC
RNAcentral lists this long non-coding RNA (294 nucleotides) under Mytilus galloprovincialis (Mediterranean mussel). Lineage: Eukaryota; Metazoa; Mollusca; Bivalvia; Mytilida; Mytilidae. The record is from RNAcentral.